This 492-nucleotide ribosomal RNA is filed under the name uncultured bacterium. RNAcentral's name for it is "partial 16S ribosomal RNA". It matches the Rfam family "Bacterial small subunit ribosomal RNA", at positions 29 to 507 of the family's 1533-position model. The record is from RNAcentral.
AGUGAACGCUGGCGGUAGGCCUAACACAUGCAAGUCGAACGGCAGCACAGUAAGCGCUUGCUCUUACGGGUGGCGAGUGGCGGACGGGUGAGGAAUACAUCGGAAUCUACUUUUUCGUGGGGGAUAACGUAGGGAAACUUACGCUAAUACCGCAUACGACCUACGGGUGAAAGCAGGGGAUCUUCGGACCUUGCGCGAUUGAAUGAGCCGAUGUCGGAUUAGCUAGUUGGCGGGGUAAAGGCCCACCAAGGCGACGAUCCGUAGCUGGUCUGAGAGGAUGAUCAGCCACACUGGAACUGAGACACGGUCCAGACUCCUACGGGAGGCAGCAGUAGGGAAUAUUGGACAAUGGGCGCAAGCCUGAUCCAGCCAUACCGCGUGGGUGAAGAAGGCCUUCGGGUUGUAAAGCCCUUUUGUUGGGAAAGAAAAGCAGCAGGUUAAUACCCCGCUGUUCUGACGGUACCCAAAGAAUAAGCACCGGCUAACUUCGUG